Molecule: long non-coding RNA, 422 nt
Filed under: Trifolium pratense (red clover)
Lineage: Eukaryota; Viridiplantae; Streptophyta; Magnoliopsida; Fabales; Fabaceae
Description: long non-coding RNA (TPRA_LNC004242)
Source: RNAcentral
CUACCGAACACAUCGUAACUCCAAAUUCGACGAAAUUGAAAUGCCAACAAGGGUAAUUUCGUUAGAUUUCCAUACAUGUAAAUCGUAUUAAAAAAUGAGCUACAGGGUGAGAGGAAUGACAAAAAUACCAGUAGUUGUUUCAUACGAUAAUUAAUUUGAACAGACCUUCACUAAAACGGUAAUUAAUCUCUCUCUGUAACUCCAAAUUUAGUGGAGUUUGAUUCUGUGGAAAACUAACUCGAUUGCGGUCGUUUCGGUACCAGUUUGGUGAAUUAUUGAUCCAAAUUGAGUUCUGUGCGAAGCUUUGAACUUGAGGCUCAGAAGCAGAUUUUGUGCAAAUUUUUGGUGGGGGCAAAAUCCAACAAAUUAUAAAAUAGGGGGGUAAAAUUCCGCAUUUUAAAAUAGGGAGGGUAAAAUUCCGC